RNAcentral lists this ribosomal RNA (267 nucleotides) under uncultured soil bacterium. RNAcentral describes it as "partial 16S ribosomal RNA". It matches the Rfam family "Bacterial small subunit ribosomal RNA", at positions 26 to 293 of the family's 1533-position model. The record is from RNAcentral.
AGAUUGAACGCUGGCGGCAGGCCUAACACAUGCAAGUCGAGCGGUAGAGAGGUGCUUGCACCUUUUGAGAGCGGCGGACGGGCGAGUAAUGCCUAGGAAUCUGCCUAGUGGUGGGGGAUAACGUUCGGAAACGGACGCUAAUACCGCAUACGUCCUACGGGAGAAAGCGGGGGACCUUCGGGCCUCGCGCCAUUAGAUGAAGCCUAGGUCGGAUUAGCUAGUUGGUGAGGUAAUGGCUCGACCAAGGCGACGAUCCGUAACUGGUCU